GAUGAACGCUGGCGGUGUGCCUAAUACAUGCAAGUCGUACGCAUUCUCGUUUCUGAUUGACGGUGCUUGCACCUAAUUGACGAGACAUUGGAAUGAGUGGCGGACGGGUGAGUAACACGUGGGUAACCUGCCCAGAAGCGGGGGAUAACAUUGGAAACAGAUGCUAAUACCGCAUAAAAGUCAAAACCACAUGGUUUUGAUUUAAAAGAUGGCCUUUGUGCCAUCACUUCUGGAUGGACCCGCGGCGUAUUAGCUAGUUGGUAAGGUAAUGGCUUACCAAGGCAAUGAUACGUAGCCGAACUGAGAGGUUGAUCGGCCACAAUGGGACUGAGACACGGCCCAUACUCCUACGGGAGGCAGCAGUAGGGAAUCUUCCAUAAUGGGCGCAAGCCUGAUGGAGCAACACCGCGUGAGUGAAGAAGGGUUUCGGCUCGUAAAACUCUGUUGUUAAAGAAGAACGUAUCUAAGAGUAACUGCUUAGGUAGUGACGGUAUUUAACCAGAAAGCCACGGCUAACUACGUGCCAGCAGCCGCCGUAA
RNAcentral lists this ribosomal RNA (539 nucleotides) under uncultured bacterium. RNAcentral describes it as "partial 16S ribosomal RNA". It matches the Rfam family "Bacterial small subunit ribosomal RNA", at positions 28 to 523 of the family's 1533-position model. The record is from RNAcentral.